UAAAUGGGUACUGUCAAAAGUACCCAAAAUAUAAAAAUAAAAAUAGUAAUAUUCCUAGAAUAAUAUUCCAGACUUUUGGGUAAAGUUUGGUAAUUAUUGGAGUUAAAUAGAUAGACGAACCAAUACUCGCUUAGAGCCACUUAACCUAUGUUAAGUGACUUAAGUCACCAAAUGACCCUCAUUUCCCACCCAGCCCGUCGACGCCCAGAAAGAAGAGAAGAGAAGAGGAAGGGAGGGAGAGAGAGAAAGAAAACCUAGGUUGUGUGAUUUUCAACCGAUUGGAGCGAUUCAAAAGCCUAAAUCAUUUAGAAUCUUCCCCUCUUUCAUAAUCCUAACUUUGUUUUGAGUGGGGAGCAUUGUGGAGAGGGAUAUUGGCUCUCAAAAAUUCGGCCCUUUGGUGAAAAUUGGGGUUUUGAGAGUUUCUACCUCCAUUGAAGCUUGAGGAGCCAUCAAUCCUUGGUUGUGUGACCAUUGGUGGAUUGAGACAUUUGGACCAACCGUGAGUGAUCAACCAUUGGAGCAAGCUAUGGAGCUUGAAUAGCUCAUUGGAAUUGGUGUAUGUUUGUAAAAGUUGAUUGCUGAAACUGUUGGUGAAGAACAAAGGUUGACUGAAGCAUUGAGGUAAGGAUGCUGCAGGAGCCUCUGGUGGCAAGUGGUCAUACCUAGAUUAUGCAUGAAAUAUGGCACUUCUUUGAGUUUAUGCAUGCCUGUUGUAGUUGACAUGUAUAGGAUUUUAUUUUGAAAGCCCAUGAUCAUUUGUAUAUCUUGAUUCAUUGGAUGAACUUAGCCUAUGCUCAUGCCUUUGGUUACACCUUUUGUUGAUGGGAGCCAAGGGAAUGAUCAUAGUGUUUUGUAAGCUAAGUUCUAUGAUUUGUAAAGGAUAUGUAAUGUAAAUGAUGCCUACUUGGAAUUCAAUAUAU
This is a long non-coding RNA of Gastrolobium bilobum, 920 nucleotides long. RefSeq lists it as uncharacterized. The record is from RefSeq and is a predicted model, not a curated record. The transcript is spliced from 3 exons. NCBI's taxonomy places the organism in Eukaryota, Viridiplantae, Streptophyta, Magnoliopsida, Fabales, Fabaceae.